RNAcentral lists this ribosomal RNA (825 nucleotides) under uncultured bacterium. Its description in RNAcentral is "bacterial SSU rRNA". It matches the Rfam family "Bacterial small subunit ribosomal RNA", at positions 627 to 1451 of the family's 1533-position model. The record is from RNAcentral.
UGGAAACUNUCUGACUUGAGUGCAGAAGGGGAGAGUGGAAUUCCAUGUGUAGCGGUGAAAUGCGUAGAUAUAUGGAGGANCACCAGUGGCGAAAGCGGCUCUCUGGUCUGUCACUGACGCUGAGGCUNGAAAGCGUGGGUAGCGAACAGGAUUAGAUACCCUGGUAGUNCACGCCGUAAACGAUGAGUGCUAGGUGUUAGGCCCUUUCCGGGGCUUAGUGCCGGAGCUAACGCAAUAAGCACUCCGCCUGGGGAGUACGACCGCAAGGUUGAAACUCAAAGGAAUUGACGGGGGCCCGCACAAGCGGUGGAGCAUGUGGUUUAAUUCGAAGCAACGCGAAGAACCUUACCAGGUCUUGACAUCCCGAUGCUAUUCUUAGAGAUAGGAAGUUACUUCGGUACAUCGGAGACAGGUGGUGCAUGGUUGUCGCCAGCUCGUGUCGUGAGAUGUUGGGUUAAGUCCCGCAACGAGCGCAACCCUUAUUGUUAGUUGCCAUCAUUAAGUUGGGCACUCUAGCGAGACUGCCGGUAAUAAACCGGAGGAAGGUGGGGAUGACGUCAAAUCAUCAUGCCCCUUAUGACCUGGGCUACACACGUGCUACAAUGGUCGGUACAACGAGUUGCGAGCCGGUGACGGCAAGCUAAUCUCUGAAAGCCGAUCUCAGUUCGGAUUGGAGGCUGCAACUCGCCUCCAUGAAGUCGGAAUCGCUAGUAAUCGCGGAUCGGCACGCCGCGGUGAAUACGUUCCCGGGCCUUGUACACACCGCCCGUCACACCACGAGAGUUUGUAACACCCGAAGUCGGUGAGGUAACCUUUUAGGGNCCA